CCACCCUGAACACACCCAUUCUCUUCUGACAUUGGAUGCUAAGCAGGGUAGCCUGGCUAGUACUUGGGUGGAAGUUGCUCAACAAACACUUCUCAAAUGAAAGAGCAAGU
This 110-nucleotide ribosomal RNA is filed under the name Nannospalax galili (Upper Galilee mountains blind mole rat). The record is from RNAcentral. Lineage: Eukaryota; Metazoa; Chordata; Mammalia; Rodentia; Spalacidae.